AUGUUAGAACAGUUACUGAUAUUCACGAGAGGAGGAUUGAUCCUCUGGACAUGCAAGGAGCUCGGGAAUGCCCUCAAAGGAUCUCCCAUCGACACCUUGAUCCGAUCUUGCCUUCUGGAGGAGCGAUCCGGUGCCGCUUCAUAUAACUACGAUGCUCCCGGUGCCGCUUACACCCUCAAAUGGACCUUCCAUAACGAGCUCGGCCUGAUUUUCGUGGCGGUUUAUCAGCGAAUUCUCCAUCUGUUGUAUGUGGAUGAUCUGCUCUCGAUGGUGAAGCGCGAGUUCUCGGAGAUUUAUGAUCCGAAGCGCACCGUAUAUAAUGAUUUCGAUGAUGUUUUUCGGCAGCUUCGUAAGGAGGCUGAGGCUAGGGCCGAGGAAAUGAAGAAGUCAGGUCAGCUGGCGAAGGCUGUGAACGGGCCGAGUAAGAUGCAGCGGCAAACUACAUCUCAGAAGGUUGGAUCGGAUGGGGGUGGUAAGAAGAAGAGCGGCGGGGCUGGCAAGGAUGGCGGUGAUGGUGAUUCUGGGAAGGGCCGAAAAUUGGAGAACGGGCAUUCCAAUGGGCAUGUUGGAAUGGAGAAGUCUCCAGCAGACGGUGUUCCUARGAGCAAAGAGAAUGGGGCUUCCGGAACUGGGGCUUUUGACGUAAGUAAACUUCAGAAGCUAAGAUCAAAAGGUGGGAAGAAAUCAGAUACCGUUGCUAACAAGACCUCCAAGGCGGAGGCUCAGAAAAAAUCAAAGCCAAAGGCAAAUAGAGUUUGGGACGAUUCUCCUCCGGAGUCAAAAUUGGAUUUUACAGAUCCUGUGGAUGAGAAAGGGGAUGAAAAUAUUGCAGUUAUGGCAGAUCAGGGUGAAAGUCUGAUGGACCAGGAAGAAGUUAUCAGCAGCGAAAGUGAGACUGAAGAAGAAGAGGAAUUGGCAAAGAACACCAAGGCUGAUGCAAAGAAGGGGUGGUUUUCGUCAAUGUUUCAGAGUAUUGCAGGAAAGGCAAAUUUAGAGAAAUCAGAUUUGGAACCAGCCUUGAAAGCUCUCAAGGAUAGGCUUAUGACCAAGAAUGUGGCUGAAGAAAUAGCUGAGAAGCUUUGUGAAUCAGUAGCAGCUAGUCUUGAAGGUAAAAAGCAGGCAUCUUUUACAAGGAUAUCUUCAACUGUUCAGACAGCAAUGGAAGAGGCGUUGGUUCGUAUCUUGACUCCUAAACGUUCUAUUGACAUAUUGAGGGAUGUUCAUGCGGUAAAGGAGCAUGGAAAACCAUAUGUCAUUGUUUUUGUUGGCGUCAAUGGAGUUGGGAAAUCCACCAACCUUGCUAAGGUUGCCUACUGGCUCCUGCAGCAUAAGAUCAAAGUUAUGAUGGCAGCUUGUGAUACAUUUCGUUCUGGAGCUGUUGAGCAGCUUCGUACGCAUGCCCGUAGGCUUCAGAUUCCUAUAUUCGAGAAGGGCUAUGAGAAAGAUCCUGCCAUUGUAGCUAAGGAAGCCAUCCAAGAGGCUACCCGUAAUGGUUCAGAUGUGGUUCUUGUUGAUACAGCUGGGCGGAUGCAGGAUAAUGAACCCUUGAUGAGAGCACUAUCCAAGCUCAUCUACCUCAACAAUCCAGAUUUGGUCCUCUUUGUUGGAGAAGCAUUGGUUGGGAAUGAUGCCGUUGAUCAAUUAUCAAAAUUUAAUCAGAAACUGGCAGACCUCUCAACCUCGCCUAAUGCAAUGUUAAUUGAUGGAAUCCUGCUCACAAAGUUUGACACCAUCGAUGACAAGGUUGGAGCUGCACUUUCCAUGGUUUACAUCUCUGGGGCACCAGUGAUGUUUGUUGGCUGUGGUCAGUCCUACACAGACCUCAAGAAGCUCAAUGUCAAAUCCAUUGUGAAGACUCUCCUCAAAUGAGAACUUGGUCUUGUGAUUUUCUUUUAUCUUGAAGUUGUGUGGCUAUUAUAUCACUGAUCUUUCACCUUGUUGCUAAACUGCGUUUUUUCCCCCAAUGACCUCAUUAUCUUGGCUUUGGAGGUAACAGUAUUUUGUUUUAGGUGGUGAGAUCUAUCAUGCAAUAUCGCAAGAUGUUGCCAAGGAAUAUCACCCUCAGGGCUCAGCAAGAAAUUACCAAUAAAGGAUUCCUGAGAGUUUCUGUUGAUUAACAUUUCACUCCUUUCAAUGCUAUAAAAGUUCAAGACAGGCUAGGGCUGCCAA
Molecule: RNA transcript, 2169 nt
Organism: Nelumbo nucifera (sacred lotus)
Lineage: Eukaryota; Viridiplantae; Streptophyta; Magnoliopsida; Proteales; Nelumbonaceae
Gene name: signal recognition particle receptor alpha subunit family protein
Source: RefSeq, a predicted model, not a curated record